CUACCAUGGUGGUAACGGGUAACGGGGUGUUAGGGCACGACACCGGAGAGGGAGCCUGAGAAACGGCUACCACAUCCAAGGAAGGCAGCAGGCGCGCAAAUUACCCAAUCCCGACACGGGGAGGUAGUGACAAUAAAUAACAAUACAGGGUUCUUUUGGAUCUUGUAAUUGGAAUGAGUACAAUUUAAAUCUCUUAACGAGGAACAAUUGGAGGGCAAGUCUGGUGCCAGCAGCCGCGGUAAUUCCAGCUCCAAUAGCGUAUAUUAAAGUUGUUGCAGUUAAAAAGCUCGUAGUUGAAUUUCGGGAUCAAUAUUUCGGUCAUGCCGUUGGUAUGCACUGUUAUCAUUGAUUUCUCACCUUCUAAAGAACCGUAAUGCCAUUAAUUUGGUGUUACGGGGAAUUAGGACUGUUACCUUGAAAAAAUUAGAGUGUUUAAAGCAGGCUCACGCUUGAAUACAUUAGCAUGGAAUAAUGAAAUAGGACAUCCGAUUCUAUUUUGUUGGUUUCUAGGAUCGAUGUAAUGAUUAAUAGGGAUAGUUGGGGGCAUUAGUAUUCAAUUGUCAGAGGUGAAAUUCUUGGAUUUAUUGAAGACUAACUACUGCGAAAGCAUUUGCCAAGGAUGUUUUCAUUAAUCAAGAACGAAAGUUAGGGGAUCGAAGACGAUCAGAUACCGUCGUAGUCUUAACCAUAAACUAUGCCGACUAGGGAUCGGAUGAUGUUAAUUUUUUAAUGACUCAUUCGGCGCCUUACUGGAAACCAAAGUGUU
This 766-nucleotide ribosomal RNA is filed under the name Funneliformis mosseae. RNAcentral describes it as "SSU rRNA". It matches the Rfam family "Eukaryotic small subunit ribosomal RNA", at positions 341 to 1107 of the family's 1831-position model. Lineage: Eukaryota; Fungi; Glomeromycota; Glomeromycetes; Glomerales; Glomeraceae. The record is from RNAcentral.